GACGAACGCUGGCGGCGUGCCUAAUACAUGCAAGUAGAACGCUGAAGCUUGGUGCUUGCACCGAGCGGAUGAGUUGCGAACGGGUGAGUAACGCGUAGGUAACCUGCCUGGUAGCGGGGGAUAACUAUUGGAAACGAUAGCUAAUACCGCAUAAGAGUAGAUGUUGCAUGACAUUUGCUUAAAAGGUGCAAUUGCAUCACUACCAGAUGGACCUGCGUUGUAUUAGCUAGUUGGUGAGGUAACGGCUCACCAAGGCAACGAUACAUAGCCGACCUGAGAGGGUGAGCGGCCACCCUGGGAGUGAGACACGGCCCAGACGCCUACGGGAGGCAGCAGUAGGGAAUCUGCGGCAAUGGACGGAAGUCUGACCGGGCAACGCCGCGUGAGGGAAGAAGGUUUUCGGAUCGUAAAGCUCUGUUGUAAGGGAAGAACGAGUGUGAGAGUGGAAAGUUCACACUGUGACGGUAUCUUACCAGAAAGGGACGGCUAACUACGUG
RNAcentral lists this ribosomal RNA (497 nucleotides) under uncultured bacterium. RNAcentral describes it as "partial 16S ribosomal RNA". It matches the Rfam family "Bacterial small subunit ribosomal RNA", at positions 28 to 507 of the family's 1533-position model. The record is from RNAcentral.